CGAGUGUGUUUAAGCCGGGUAUUUUUUCGACGUUGGCUCCGGUUACUAGAGAUCCCAUUGUGUUGUUUGUUAAUCCGGGUUUGGAUAUACCGCCAAAGAAGAAGUCUUCAGCUGUUAUGUUUGCUGCAUUCUUGCAUGCGAAUCCAUUUAACUUCACUUCUGAAGAUUUUGGAAUUCAAUUUCCCAUGCCAACCCAAGUCUAGGUACGCCCCUGCUCUCAACAAGACGGGAAAUAACAAGCAAUAUACACAUAGAGAAAGAAAGAAAGUGCGUACCCGAAGUAGAAUCAGCAACACAAAUAUCUUGGAGCAUGUCAGCAUCAUUGCCAAAAACAGGAGAUGUAGUCACAGCCAAGAACAGUACUAUCAAAAAAGCAAUACAAGAAAUAAGCCCCAUUCUCAUUUAUUAAACUCAGAUUUUUUUGUUAAUUACUCAAUAAAUAAUUAG
Amaranthus tricolor (Joseph's coat) is the source of this 447-nucleotide long non-coding RNA. RefSeq lists it as uncharacterized. NCBI's taxonomy places the organism in Eukaryota, Viridiplantae, Streptophyta, Magnoliopsida, Caryophyllales, Amaranthaceae. The transcript is spliced from 2 exons. The record is from RefSeq and is a predicted model, not a curated record.